UAAGUGGGAAACGAUGUGGGAAGGCCCAGACAGCCAGGAUGUUGGCUUAGAAGCAGCCAUCAUUUAAAGAAAGCGUAAUAGCUCACUGGUCGAGUCGGCCUGCGCGGAAGAUGUAACGGGGCUAAACCAUGCACCGAAGCUGCGGCAGCGACACUGUGUGUUGUUGGGUAGGGGAGCGUUCUGUAAGCCUGUGAAGGUGGCCUGUGAGGGUUGCUGGAGGUAUCAGAAGUGCGAAUGCUGACAUAAGUAACGAUAAAGCGGGUGAAAAGCCCGCUCGCCGGAAGACCAAGGGUUCCUGUCCAACGUUAAUCGGGGCAGGGUGAGUCGACCCCUAAGGCGAGGCCGAAAGGCGUAGUCGAUGGGAAACGGGUUAAUAUUCCCGUACUUGGUGUUACUGCGAAGGGGGGACGGAGAAGGCUAUGUUGGCCGGGCGACGGUUGUCCCGGUUUAAGCGUGUAGGUGUGUGUUCCAGGUAAAUCCGGUUCACUUUAACACUGAGGCGUGACGACGAGGCACUACGGUGCUGAAGCAACAAAUGCCCUGCUUCCAGGAAAAGCCUCUAAGCAUCAGGUAACAUCAAAUCGUACCCCAAACCGACACAGGUGGUCAGGUAGAGAAUACCAAGGCGCUUGAGAGAACUCGGGUGAAGGAACUAGGCAAAAUGGUGCCGUAACUUCGGGAGAAGGCACGCUGACACGUAGGUGAAGUGAUUUACUCACGGAGCUGAAGUCAGUCGAAGAUACCAGCUGGCUGCAACUGUUUAUUAAAAACACAGCACUGUGCAAACACGAAAGUGGACGUAUACGGUGUGACGCCUGCCCGGUGCCGGAAGGUUAAUUGAUGGGGUCAGCGCAAGCGAAGCUCCUGAUCGAAGCCCCGGUAAACGGCGGCCGUAACUAUAACGGUCCUAAGGUAGCGAAAUUCCUUGUCGGGUAAGUUCCGACCUGCACGAAUGGCGUAAUGAUGGCCAGGCUGUCUCCACCCGAGACUCAGUGAAAUUGAACUCGCUGUGAAGAUGCAGUGUACCCGCGGCAAGACGGAAAGACCCCGUGAACCUUUACUAUAGCUUGACACUGAACAUUGAGCCUUGAUGUGUAGGAUAGGUGGGAGGCUUUGAAGCGUGGACGCCAGUCUGCGUGGAGCCGACCUUGAAAUACCACCCUUUAAUGUUUGAUGUUCUAACGUGGACCCGUGAUCCGGGUUGCGGACAGUGUCUGGUGGGUAGUUUGACUGGGGCGGUCUCCUCCUAAAGAGUAACGGAGGAGCACGAAGGUUGGCUAAUCCUGGUCGGACAUCAGGAGGUUAGUGCAAUGGCAUAAGCCAGCUUGACUGCGAGCGUGACGGCGCGAGCAGGUGCGAAAGCAGGUCAUAGUGAUCCGGUGGUUCUGAAUGGAAGGGCCAUCGCUCAACGGAUAAAAGGUACUCCGGGGAUAACAGGCUGAUACCGCCCAAGAGUUCAUAUCGACGGCGGUGUUUGGCACCUCGAUGUCGGCUCAUCACAUCCUGGGGCUGAAGUAGGUCCCAAGGGUAUGGCUGUUCGCCAUUUAAAGUGGUACGCGAGCUGGGUUUAGAACGUCGUGAGACAGUUCGGUCCCUAUCUGCCGUGGGCGCUGGAGAACUGAGGGGGGCUGCUCCUAGUACGAGAGGACCGGAGUGGACGCAUCACUGGUGUUCGGGUUGUCAUGCCAAUGGCACUGCCCGGUAGCUAAAUGCGGAAGAGAUAAGUGCUGAAAGCAUCUAAGCACGAAACUUGCCCCGAGAUGAGUUCUCCCUGAGACUUAAAGUCUCCUGAAGGAACGUUGAAGACGACGACGUUGAUAGGCCGGGUGUGUAAGCGCAGCGAUGCGUUGAGCUAACCGGUACUAAUGAACCGUGAGGCUUAACCUUAC
Molecule: ribosomal RNA, 1889 nt
Filed under: Salmonella enterica
Lineage: Bacteria; Pseudomonadati; Pseudomonadota; Gammaproteobacteria; Enterobacterales; Enterobacteriaceae
Description: partial 23S ribosomal RNA
Rfam family: Bacterial large subunit ribosomal RNA
Source: RNAcentral